Molecule: ribosomal RNA, 2657 nt
Filed under: Salmonella enterica subsp. enterica serovar Enteritidis
Lineage: Bacteria; Pseudomonadati; Pseudomonadota; Gammaproteobacteria; Enterobacterales; Enterobacteriaceae
Description: partial 23S ribosomal RNA
Rfam family: Bacterial large subunit ribosomal RNA
Source: RNAcentral
UGGGGAAACCCAGUGUGACUCGUCACACUAUCAUUAACUGAAUCCAUAGGUUAAUGAGGCGAACCGGGGGAACUGAAACAUCUAAGUACCCCGAGGAAAAGAAAUCAACCGAGAUUCCCCCAGUAGCGGCGAGCGAACGGGGAGGAGCCCAGAGCCUGAAUCAGCAUGUGUGUUAGUGGAAGCGUCUGGAAAGGCGCGCGAUACAGGGUGACAGCCCCGUACACAAAAGCGCAUGUGCUGUGAGCUCGAUGAGUAGGGCGGGACACGUGGUAUCCUGUCUGAAUAUGGGGGGACCAUCCUCCAAGGCUAAAUACUCCUGACUGACCGAUAGUGAACCAGUACCGUGAGGGAAAGGCGAAAAGAACCCCGGCGAGGGGAGUGAAAAAGAACCUGAAACCGUGUACGUACAAGCAGUGGGAGCACCCUUUGGGUGUGACUGCGUACCUUUUGUAUAAUGGGUCAGCGACUUAUAUUCUGUAGCAAGGUUAACCGAAUAGGGGAGCCGGAGGGAAACCGAGUCUUAACCGGGCGUUAAGUUGCAGGGUAUAGACCCGAAACCCGGUGAUCUAGCCAUGGGCAGGUUGAAGGUUGGGUAACACUAACUGGAGGACCGAACCGACUAAUGUUGAAAAAUUAGCGGAUGACCUGUGGCUGGGGGUGAAAGGCCAAUCAAACCGGGAGAUAGCUGGUUCUCCCCGAAAGCUAUUUAGGUAGCGCCUCGUGAAUUCAUCUCCGGGGGUAGAGCACUGUUUCGGCUAGGGGGCCAUCCCGGCUUACCAACCCGAUGCAAACUGCGAAUACCGGAGAAUGUUAUCACGGGAGACACACGGCGGGUGCUAACGUCCGUCGUGAAGAGGGAAACAACCCAGACCGCCAGCUAAGGUCCCAAAGUCAUGGUUAAGUGGGAAACGAUGUGGGAAGGCCCAGACAGCCAGGAUGUUGGCUUAGAAGCAGCCAUCAUUUAAAGAAAGCGUAAUAGCUCACUGGUCGAGUCGGCCUGCGCGGAAGAUGUAACGGGGCUAAACCAUGCACCGAAGCUGCGGCAGCGACACUGUGUGUUGUUGGGUAGGGGAGCGUUCUGUAAGCCUGUGAAGGUGUGUCGUGAGGCAUGCUGGAGGUAUCAGAAGUGCGAAUGCUGACAUAAGUAACGAUAAAGCGGGUGAAAAGCCCGCUCGCCGGAAGACCAAGGGUUCCUGUCCAACGUUAAUCGGGGCAGGGUGAGUCGACCCCUAAGGCGAGGCCGAAAGGCGUAGUCGAUGGGAAACGGGUUAAUAUUCCCGUACUUGGUGUUACUGCGAAGGGGGGACGGAGAAGGCUAUGUUGGCCGGGCGACGGUUGUCCCGGUUUAAGCGUGUAGGUGUGUGUUCCAGGUAAAUCCGGUUCACUUUAACACUGAGGCGUGACGACGAGGCACUACGGUGCUGAAGCAACAAAUGCCCUGCUUCCAGGAAAAGCCUCUAAGCAUCAGGUAACAUCAAAUCGUACCCCAAACCGACACAGGUGGUCAGGUAGAGAAUACCAAGGCGCUUGAGAGAACUCGGGUGAAGGAACUAGGCAAAAUGGUGCCGUAACUUCGGGAGAAGGCACGCUGACACGUAGGUGAAGUGAUUUACUCAUGGAGCUGAAGUCAGUCGAAGAUACCAGCUGGCUGCAACUGUUUAUUAAAAACACAGCACUGUGCAAACACGAAAGUGGACGUAUACGGUGUGACGCCUGCCCGGUGCCGGAAGGUUAAUUGAUGGGGUCAGCGCAAGCGAAGCUCCUGAUCGAAGCCCCGGUAAACGGCGGCCGUAACUAUAACGGUCCUAAGGUAGCGAAAUUCCUUGUCGGGUAAGUUCCGACCUGCACGAAUGGCGUAAUGAUGGCCAGGCUGUCUCCACCCGAGACUCAGUGAAAUUGAACUCGCUGUGAAGAUGCAGUGUACCCGCGGCAAGACGGAAAGACCCCGUGAACCUUUACUAUAGCUUGACACUGAACAUUGAGCCUUGAUGUGUAGGAUAGGUGGGAGGCUUUGAAGUGUGGACGCCAGUCUGCAUGGAGCCGACCUUGAAAUACCACCCUUUAAUGUUUGAUGUUCUAACGUGGACCCGUUACCCGGGUUGCGGACAGUGUCUGGUGGGUAGUUUGACUGGGGCGGUCUCCUCCUAAAGAGUAACGGAGGAGCACGAAGGUUGGCUAAUCCUGGUCGGACAUCAGGAGGUUAGUGCAAUGGCAUAAGCCAGCUUGACUGCGAGCGUGACGGCGCGAGCAGGUGCGAAAGCAGGUCAUAGUGAUCCGGUGGUUCUGAAUGGAAGGGCCAUCGCUCAACGGAUAAAAGGUACUCCGGGGAUAACAGGCUGAUACCGCCCAAGAGUUCAUAUCGACGGCGGUGUUUGGCACCUCGAUGUCGGCUCAUCACAUCCUGGGGCUGAAGUAGGUCCCAAGGGUAUGGCUGUUCGCCAUUUAAAGUGGUACGCGAGCUGGGUUUAGAACGUCGUGAGACAGUUCGGUCCCUAUCUGCCGUGGGCGCUGGAGAACUGAGGGGGGCUGCUCCUAGUACGAGAGGACCGGAGUGGACGCAUCACUGGUGUUCGGGUUGUCAUGCCAAUGGCACUGCCCGGUAGCUAAAUGCGGAAGAGAUAAGUGCUGAAAGCAUCUAAGCACGAAACUUGCCCCGA